Molecule: ribosomal RNA, 919 nt
Filed under: uncultured archaeon
Lineage: Archaea
Description: bacterial SSU rRNA
Rfam family: Archaeal small subunit ribosomal RNA
Source: RNAcentral
UUCCGGUUGAUCCUGCCGGACCCUACUGCUAUCGGGGCGGGACUAAGACAUGCAAGUCGUGCGUCUCUAAGCUAUGGUAGAGACGCGGCGUACGGCUCAGUAACACGUGGCUAACCUACCCUUAGGACGGAGACAACCCCGGGAAACUGGGGCUAAUACCUGAUAGGUGAGGAGGCCUGGAAUGGUUCUUCGCUGAAAAGGCGUUGAAACCAUGCUUUUCAACGUCGCCUAAGGAUGGGGCCGCGUCCGAUCAGGUUGUUGGUGGGGUAACGGCUCACCAAGCCUAUAACCGGUACGGGCCGUGAGAGCGGGAGCCCGGAGAUGGGCACUGAGAUAAGGGCCCAGGCCCUACGGGGCGCAGCAGUCGCGAAAACUCCGCAAUGCGCGAAAGCGUGACGGGGCUACCCCGAGUGCCGUCCGCUGAGGAUGGCUUUUCCCCGGUGUAAUGAGCCGGGGGAAUAAGGAGAGGGCAAGUCUGGUGUCAGCCGCCGCGGUAAUACCAGCUCUCCGAGUAGUAGGGACGAUUAUUGGGCUUAAAGCGUCCGUAGCCGGCUUAGCAAGUCUCCUGUUAAAUUCAGCGACCUAAUCGUUGAGCCGCGGGAGAUACUACUAGGCUAGGAGGCGGGAGAGGCCGACGGUAUUCCCGGGGUAGGGGUGAAAUCCUAUAAUCCCGGGAGGACCACCAGUGGCGAAGGCUGUCGGCUAGAACGCGCUCGACGGUGAGGGACGAAAGCUGGGGGAGCGAACCGGAUUAGAUACCCGGGUAGUCCCAGCUGUAAACGAUGCGGGCUAGUGUUGAGUGCUACGAGCCACUUCAGUGCGCAGGGAGCCAUUAAGCCGCGCCUGGGGAGUACGGCGCAGCUGAACUAAAGGAUGCGGGGAGCACACAGCGUGAGCUGCGUUAAUGGAAUCAACGCGG